This 2069-nucleotide long non-coding RNA is filed under the name Mus musculus (house mouse). RNAcentral's name for it is "long non-coding RNA chr11:116813231-116815300". The record is from RNAcentral. Lineage: Eukaryota; Metazoa; Chordata; Mammalia; Rodentia; Muridae.
GUAUCUGAGACAAGAUGGCGGGCAGGCUGGCCAGCUUCUAGCUAAUGUCUGUUAAGGUAGACCGGCUGAGGGUGGCUAUAGCCGGUGACGCUGGUGUCCCCUCUUCCAGCUGCUAUCCUAGAACUUUCUACUGCCUCCCGGAGAGUCUGAGACACCUCCACUGUAGGUCAGGCCCCCGCCACUCGCACACGUCUUCAGAUAUACAGAUGCUGCCAAGAAGGAAGAAAAGCCACUGGGGUUAGGACUCUCACCUCGCCGAAAGGAAGGAGGUUCUGAAGAUGAACUCAGAGCCCAAACGUUCCACAGAGCCAUGCUGUGCCUCAUCAAGCCUCACUUAGGAGGACUGGGGUCCUACCUAGCCAGCUGCCCAGGGCCCGAGGCUUUCCUCCGGAACCAAUCUACUUCUUACAAGGACCUGCUUUGCUCCUGAAUCGCUCUACAUUUAGAGAACACAGUUCUAGGUGCUCUGGUGACCAGACGACAAGUGUGCAGCUAAUGAAGACUCGAAUCAGCAGCCGUUCCCUGGCAAGGGUGGUGGAGUGGGCGGAGUGGGUAGGGGGCUGAAAGAGCGCCGAUGGGGCGGCUGUGGUAGCGUUCGUCCAUCUUUAGUCCCAGCACAUCGGGGUGGGAAGAGGUAGGUCUCUGUGAGUUCCAGGCCAGUCUGGUCCACAUCAAGUUUCAGGCCAACUAUACAGAGGGUACAGGGUGGCAUGCUGACUAUGGGUGAGGGGGACAGAGGCAUAUUGGUCAAUUGGGGUUUGCCUGGCUGUCGGGGCCCUUGCUGCGAUGAGGCUGCAGCUCUGAGAGUCUGAAGUUCUUUGCCUUCUCAGAAACCCUCCGCUCUCCUCUGCAGCUCCCCAGCACACUGGUCUGAAGCCUCACCAGGCUAAUAAGCAUAGCCCAGGACGGCCCACUCCAUCUGGUCUAGUUCAUAGGAACCAAGAGCUUUUCAAGUCCAGGGUGUGGCCGGAGACUGAGGAACUUCCCCGAGCAACUGCAGUCUGCUGCCCAGGGCUGCAGCUCCUACUGAGAAGGCCUUUGUUUAUCCCAGAUCCCUGAAUAUCCUGCAUGCCAGGGACAACAACCGGGGCUUCAGCUUGCAAGCUGCCCCCUCGCUGGGCCCAGAAGCAGUACUGACAAAACCAAAGAACCCCGACAUCUGGGCAGCUGUGUUGCUGUUCUAGAAAAAUAAACACAAACGGCUCUGCCAGCUUGGUGCGCGCCUGGGUUCUGGUUUAUGGGACAAGUCUGAUUAGCCUGAUGCUUUUCCAGCCUGCCAGGACAGCUGCCCUAACGCAGGCCUUAACUCAAUCACACUCGGUGGGCCCAAUCCAAUUUAGUUAGAGCCAGAGGGCCGGGUGUGAGAGUCCCCAGGGAGUGCGUGCAGGAUGGGGGCUUCCUCUUCCAGGCAUCAGGCCGCUUGGGGACGUCAUUUUAGCAACACUAAUCAAUUAGCCUGGGAGGCUGAGCUGCUUCCAGCAGGGGGGCUGGCGGGCAGUCUCACUUCCUUCUAACAGCUGAGACCGCUGGCCUUUCUCCCCUCUGCCUGGUUAUAGAUGGGAGGCCAUGAAUGUUGGGGGCUGUCCAAGGACAGAGGCUCAGACGAGUGGGAGGACUCCGGAGCAGACAUGUGGCCAGGCGGGCAGAGGGCUUGACGUAUGUGAGACUGUCAGCGGAGUUAGGGAUGGUAGCCUGUAGGUGUGCCUGCUUGGUUUGCCCCAGUUUUAACCUCCCUUCUGCAUGCUCCAGUCACCAGUAGGACUUUGGUAGCCACGCCAGCAGGGACAGACAGACAGACAGACUCAUGGGACUGCUGUUAACUCCUAUCUCCAUGAUUCAGGAGCAGAGAGCAAGGGCCUGGCUGGCCAGGUGUUGAUAUCCCCACCUACCUCUGCCCGUGCCUAAGGGGCUAUGCCAACAGAAACCCACAGCCCUGUUCUCCUCGAGAGGGCCUGGGGACUUUCUGGGCUCUGUAGCUAGCUCAGUUACCACAUUCCUGAACCCACUGCUUCCCAUGGAGCCUGCCAGCCAGCCAGCCGUUGGCUUAAAGCUGCAGCCAGUUCUGCUUU